GAUGAAGAACGUAGCGAAAUGCGAUAAGUAAUGUGAAUUGCAGAAUUCAGUGAAUCAUCGAAUCUUUGAACGCACAUUGCGCCCGCCAGUAUUCUGGCGGGCAUGCCUGUUCGAGCGUCAUUUCAACCAUCAAGCCCCCGGCUUGUGUUGGGGACCUGCGGCUGCCGCAGGCCCUCAAAAGCAGUGGCGGGCUCGCUGUCACACCGAGCGUAGUAGCAUACAUCUCGCUCUGGGCGUGCUGCGGGUUCCGGCCGUUAAACCACCUUCAUAACCCAAGGUUGACCUCGGAUCAGGUAGGAAGACCCGCUGAACUUAAGCAUAUCAAUAAGCGGAGGA
This 336-nucleotide unclassified non-coding RNA is filed under the name soil metagenome. RNAcentral describes it as "partial contains 5.8S ribosomal RNA, internal transcribed spacer 2, and large subunit ribosomal RNA". The stretch from base 1 to 120 matches the Rfam family "5.8S ribosomal RNA", at positions 35 to 154 of the family's 154-position model. The record is from RNAcentral.